GAUUAUAUAUAGCAGUAUAAAAAAAGUUGUUAUAAAAGUAGUCACCGUAGUCAUUAUUUUACUAUAAGAAAUAUAGGUUUUCUUAAAAGAAGUCUUCAGNCACCUUAGUUUAUACACCAUGUUUAUACAUAAAACUAAUAUCCAACAGAUAGCUAAAUGAGUGUUUUCCGCCCGACAUCUUGUUCCCAUUGGAUUGUGGGCUUAGGGCAGAUUCACCCAGUUAACUUUCUACCCGAUAUCAGAUUAUAUAUAGCAGUAUAAAAAAAGUUGUUAUAAAAGUAGUCACCGUAGUCAUUAUUUUACUAUAAGAAAUAUAGGUUUUCUUAAAAGAAUUCUUCAUUAAAUAUAAAGGAACCAUUACAAAUAACUUCAUGAGUAACAAGUGAAUACACCAGGGUUAUAUAUGACAAUGAUCGAACAACCAAUGGAACGUGUGCUAUCCGCCUUACUUGUUGUUCCCCGUUGGGUUGUGAGUUUAAGGCAGAUACGCACAAUCGAUUGUUUAUUUACUCUAAGUAUAUAUAACUUGUGCCCACUUAGUACGCAUAGAAAGGCUUGUAGUAUCGUUUUACAGAACUUCCAUUCAAGUAGGAAAUAUAGGAUUUUCUAGAGGAACAGGGCGAACAUUUCAAAAAAGAACUUACAGCUGACAUCACUUGUGCAUAUACAUUUUCAAUCACAUUUUCCAGCUUACUCACAUCACUAACAUCUUAU
Molecule: long non-coding RNA, 714 nt
Filed under: Lactuca sativa (garden lettuce)
Lineage: Eukaryota; Viridiplantae; Streptophyta; Magnoliopsida; Asterales; Asteraceae
Description: long non-coding RNA (LSAT_LNC010169)
Source: RNAcentral